CCUACGGGCGGCUGCAGUAGGGAAUAUUGGGCAAUGGGCGAAAGCCUGACCCAGCCAUGCCGCGUGCGGGACGAAGGCGCAUAGCGUCGUAAACCGCUUUGGCGGGGGACUAAAGCCGCAGUCGCUGCGGCCUGAAGGUACCCCGAGAACAAGCGCCGGCCAACUACGUGCCAGCAGCCGCGGUAAUACGUAGGGCGCAAGCGUUAUCCGGAUUUACUGGGUUUAAAGGGUGCGCAGGCGGGCCGAACAGUCGGCGAUGAAAUGUCGGGGCUUAA
RNAcentral lists this ribosomal RNA (275 nucleotides) under uncultured bacterium. RNAcentral's name for it is "partial 16S ribosomal RNA". It matches the Rfam family "Bacterial small subunit ribosomal RNA", at positions 338 to 612 of the family's 1533-position model. The record is from RNAcentral.